Molecule: ribosomal RNA, 253 nt
Filed under: uncultured bacterium
Lineage: Bacteria
Description: partial 16S ribosomal RNA
Rfam family: Archaeal small subunit ribosomal RNA
Source: RNAcentral
UACCAGCACCCCGAGUGGUCGGGACGAUUAUUGGGCCUAAAGCAUCCGUAGCCGGUUCUACAAGUCUUCCGUUAAAUCCACCUGCUUAACAGAUGGGCUGCGGAGGAUACUAUAGAGCUAGGAGGCGGGAGAGGCAAGCGGUACUUAGUGGGUAGGGGUAAAAUCCGUUGAUCCAUUGAAGACCACCAGUGGCGAAGGCGGCUUGCCAGAACGCACUCGACGGUGAGGGAUGAGAGCUGGGGGAGCAAACCGG